This 32-nucleotide small RNA is filed under the name Bombyx mori (domestic silkworm). RNAcentral's name for it is "ovarian small RNA-37163". Lineage: Eukaryota; Metazoa; Arthropoda; Insecta; Lepidoptera; Bombycidae. The record is from RNAcentral.
UUCCCGAGGGUCCACGCCGCCGAAUUGGCGAG